AUGUUUGGACGCAUGCCAAGGAAGACCAGCAACAACACCAAGUACUACGAGGUGCUUGGUGUAUCCAAGACAGCAACCCCGGAUGAGUUGAAGAAAGCUUACCGGAAAGCUGCUAUAAAAAACCAUCCUGACAAGGGCGGAGACCCUGAGAAGUUUAAAGAAUUGGCACAAGCUUAUGAUGUUCUCAAUGACCCUGAAAAGAGGGAGAUUUAUGACCAAUAUGGAGAAGAUGCAAUCAAAGAAGGGAUGGGAGGCAGCGGCGGCGCUGAUAUGCAUAGCCCCUUUGACAUAUUCGAACAGCUAUUUGGGGGUGGCGGCGGCGGCUUUGGAGGUGGUAGCUCGAGAGGACGCAGACAAAAGCGUGGUGAAGAUGUGGUGCAUACCAUGAAGGUUUCGUUAGAAGACUUGUACAAUGGUGCUACCAAGAAGCUAUCUUUAUCACGGAAUGUUCUUUGUGGAAAAUGCAAGGGAAAGGGAUCCAAGAGCGGGGCAACGGCUACUUGCAGUGGUUGUCGUGGUGCAGGAAUGAGGAUGAUAACAAGACAGAUUGGACCUGGCAUGAUCCAACAGAUGAAUACUGUUUGCCCUGAAUGCAGAGGAUCAGGCGAGAUGAUAAAUGACAAGGAUAGAUGCCCAAGCUGCAGAGGGAACAAAGUAUCCCAGGAGAAGAAGGUCUUGGAGGUUCAUGUGGAGAAGGGAAUGCAACAUGGCCAAAAGAUUGUAUUCCAGGGUGAAGCUGACGAAGCUCCUGAUACAGUGACAGGAGACAUUGUUUUUGUCUUGCAACUUAAAGAGCACCCAAAAUUCAAGAGGAAGUCGGAUGACCUAUUUGUUGAGCACACGAUCUCUCUGACUGAGGCUCUCUGUGGCUUUCAGUUUGUUCUGACCCAUCUUGAUGGUCGGCAGCUUCUGAUCAAGUCCAAUCCUGGGGAGAUCAUCAAGCCUGGCCAGCACAAGGCCAUAAAUGAUGAGGGCAUGCCCCAGCACGGCCGGCCGUUCAUGAAGGGUCGCCUGUUUGUCGAGUUCAGCGUGGAGUUCCCUGAGCCCGGAGUACUGACCCCUAGCCAAUGCAAGUCACUUGAGAAGAUCCUGCCGCCAAGGCCAGGGAGCCAGUCGUCGGACAUGGACGUGGACCAGUGCGAGGAGACCACCAUGCACGACGUGAACAUCGAAGAGGAGAUGAGGCGCAGGCAGCAUCAGAGGCGGCAAGAAGCAUAUGAUGAGGAAGACGAUGACGAAGGCGGUGCACCAAGGGGUGUGCAGUGCGCCCAGCAGUAA
RNAcentral lists this ribosomal RNA (1278 nucleotides) under Triticum aestivum (bread wheat). RNAcentral's name for it is "partial small subunit ribosomal RNA". Lineage: Eukaryota; Viridiplantae; Streptophyta; Magnoliopsida; Poales; Poaceae. The record is from RNAcentral.